UGCUAAGGUUAGAUCUAGGAUUAGGGAAGGUUUUGGUCCAUCCAUUGCUCAUGUUUGUGCAUACCAUGGCCAACUAGAUUGCAUGCGUGAGUUACUGUUGGUGGGGGCUGAUCCAAUGCAGCGGAUGAUGAAGGUGAAUCUGUGCUACACAGAGCCAUUGCCAAGAACUCCAAAGAGUGUGCUAUUGUCAUAUUGGAAAAUGGGGGUUGCAGAUCUAUGGGUCUUCUUAACUCAAAAAAUUUGACAUAAGAACUAAUGCUUCUCUGAUGAGAUGAUCUUAAUCUUUUGUGAAGUUGUUGUAGUCUUGACAUGUAUAUGGUUCAUGGACUAGGUAAUGUAGAACUAAUUCCCAGCUAGAUGACUAGGGAUUAAUUCCAUAACAGGAUCACAGGUGCUGUCGGUUGUUAGAUUGAACAAAAGAGAUGCCGCAAGUAUUGGACUUGUC
This is a long non-coding RNA of Macadamia integrifolia, 445 nucleotides long. RefSeq lists it as uncharacterized. Lineage: Eukaryota; Viridiplantae; Streptophyta; Magnoliopsida; Proteales; Proteaceae. The transcript has 2 exons. The record is from RefSeq and is a predicted model, not a curated record.